CACAGACCCGAAGAGAAGAAGUUUUGUGUUGUUGAGAUUAGGCAGCCAUGAAAUAACAGAGAGGGGCCAGGGGGCCCCACUGUGGGCCAAGCCCGCCCCCCAGGCCGGGACUACAGGAGAGCCGGUGCAGUGUUAAAACUGGACUGGAUGCUGUGGCCAAAAAGCUGGGGAGAGUAGAUGUCGGAGCAGAGCUGAUAUUGGGCUGCUGGUGGAGAAAGUGCAGCAGAAACUUGGCGAGCAGCAAAGCAUGGUGUGGAGCCAGAAUCUGUGAGUUUGCAACAGCGUAGUUAAGAAGAAAGCUCAGCAAGAAUUCAGGGGGUAUAUAAAAGACUGAGCAAAACCUAGAAAACCCUGUGACCUGGGGAGGAAGAAUGGAUCCAGUUUGGAGGAGUCCUUGAACCUUACCCCCUGGGAGGAACCCUGCGGAACAG
This is a long non-coding RNA of Lepidothrix coronata (blue-crowned manakin), 431 nucleotides long. RefSeq lists it as uncharacterized. Lineage: Eukaryota; Metazoa; Chordata; Aves; Passeriformes; Pipridae. The record is from RefSeq and is a predicted model, not a curated record. The transcript has 2 exons.